Molecule: non-coding RNA, 146 nt
Organism: Gossypium raimondii (Peruvian cotton)
Lineage: Eukaryota; Viridiplantae; Streptophyta; Magnoliopsida; Malvales; Malvaceae
Source: Rfam
UAUUAAAACAUUUCAUCCAUUUUUACCAUUAAAAACUGGCAUGAUUGACGAAAUAACCAGAAAGUUACAUGUAGUGUGCCAUGUGCACCUCAUGCUAACGUACAAGGACUAGUUUUUAACAGUAGAAAUGGAUGAAAGUUUUAACA